Molecule: ribosomal RNA, 467 nt
Filed under: uncultured bacterium
Lineage: Bacteria
Description: partial 16S ribosomal RNA
Rfam family: Bacterial small subunit ribosomal RNA
Source: RNAcentral
GACGAACGCUGGCGGCGUGCUUAACACAUGCAAGUCGAACGGAAAGGCCCUGCUUUUGUGGGGUGCUCGAGUGGCGAACGGGUGAGUAACACGUGAGUAACCUGCCCUUGACUUUGGGAUAACUUCAGGAAACUGGGGCUAAUACCGGAUAGGAGCUCCUGCUGCAUGGUGGGGGUUGAAAGUUUCGGCGGUUGGGGAUGGACUCGCGGCUUAUCAGCUUGUUGGUGGGGUGGUGGCUUCCCAAGGCUUUGACGGGUAGCCGGCCGGAGGGGGUGACCGGCCACAUGGGGACUGAGAUAGGGCCCAGACCCCGCGGGGGGGAAGGGGGGGGAAAUUUUGCAAAAGGGGGGGAGGCGGGAUGCCGAACCCCCGGGGGGGGGAGGGGGGCUUUGGGUUUGAAACCCCCUUCCGCUGGGGAGGAGGGGGGGGGGAGGGAAAGGGGAAAAGAAGCCCGGGCAAACUCCGUC